This 207-nucleotide unclassified non-coding RNA is filed under the name Hevea brasiliensis (rubber tree). The record is from RNAcentral. Lineage: Eukaryota; Viridiplantae; Streptophyta; Magnoliopsida; Malpighiales; Euphorbiaceae.
GGAACUCAAACUUCGCCAGGUUUGACUCUAUCUUUAUUUGACUUGAAUAGCACUAAAAAUUAUAGCUACAUAGCAAGGGUAUCUCUCCCACAUCUUAAAGAUCUCCAUUCCCCAUCUGAGUGUUCCAGACCUGAGACCUCCAAGUUGGAAUCUCAAGCUUUAGCUAUUAAGUUGUGCCCUCAGGGACCUGAAUUUCUAAUAUUGUUG